CAAGAUUAUGAGGAUAUUGGAAUUUCCACAUGAUGUUUGUAUACAAAAUUAUGACGAAGACCUGCUCUAUUUUUAAAAUGAAGGUAUAGUAGCUGACAUAUAGUGUACAUGUACCACUUGAAGAUUUGUCCCCCUUGUAGAUACAAGAAAUGCAAAGUGUACACAGAUACAUACACAUAAAAGGAGACAUCACCUCAUGAUCUGUGGAUCCAUUGAAAACUUUAAGGACAAAACUUUUGAUAAUUCAUUCAUGUAUAGAGUGUUGACUCGAAUAUUGAAUAUCUAAUGAAUGGAACCAAGAGAAUUAAUUUAAGAAGUAUUAUAUUGUAUAUUACUCUUUUUAUUCAUCUGUCAAAUUUCUUAAUUAAAAAUUAAACUUAAAGGCUUAAAUAAGGAUUUUUUUUAUUAUUUUAAUUAGAACAAGUUCUUUAAUUUAUUUUUCUCUUAUAUAAACGGGCAUUUAAGGUCAUACGCAACGUAGUUUGCACUUUAUUGGGUUCUUCCCUGGAGUUGAAGAGUUCCACUAAAUGAAGGACCUGUGUGCAAUAUUUUUAUUGUCUAUAUAUGGAUUUGUAAAUCUCUUCUAAAACAAUUUUGAUAAAAAAAAUCUGGAAUUUAUGUUUUGUAAUUUUUGUACAUUUUUCUUUGAAUAAUGCAAAAUUUUUCAAACUUUAAUAUCUUUUCAAAAUCCCUGGAAAUGCAUGCUGAUUUUUUGUUUAAAAAUAUGUUAUAUGGUACAUGUAUUAUAAGUUUAAAUUUAGAAUAUCUUGAAAAAUUAUCAGUAGGUAAGGUAUCUUGCGUAUGUCCUUAAAUGUAAAAUGAAGGUAUGUGUACCUUUAUUCAAUGAACUAGGGAACUCAUGAAGUGUGCAUAUUUAUAUAAUAGUGUUGUAUUUUGCAUGCACUAUUCUUAAAAAGUAGUCAGGGUUUGACACAUGGUGCACAAGCCGGAGGCUUUAGGUAUAAUGUACAGAUAGUUUUAGAGAAUAGUAGUUGAGUGAUGGGGGCAAUUGCAAGAAACUAUUUUAGAAGAA
Molecule: long non-coding RNA, 1033 nt
Organism: Saccostrea echinata
Lineage: Eukaryota; Metazoa; Mollusca; Bivalvia; Ostreida; Ostreidae
Exons: 3
Source: RefSeq, a predicted model, not a curated record